Molecule: ribosomal RNA, 253 nt
Filed under: uncultured bacterium
Lineage: Bacteria
Description: partial 16S ribosomal RNA
Rfam family: Bacterial small subunit ribosomal RNA
Source: RNAcentral
UACGGAGGGUGCAAACGUUGCUCGGAAUCAUUGGGCGUAAAGCGCACGUAGGCGGUCGGCUAUGUCGGAUGUGAAAGCCUCGGGCUUAACCCGAGAAGGGCAUCCGAAACUGCAUGGCUGGAGUCUCGGAGAGGAAGGUGGAAUGCUUGGUGUAGAGGUGAAAUUCGUAGAUAUCAAGCAGAACACCUGCGGCGAAGGCGGCCUUCUGGACGAUGACUGACGCUGAGACGCGAAAGCGUGGGGAGCAAACAGG